Hemicordylus capensis (graceful crag lizard) is the source of this 2994-nucleotide long non-coding RNA. RefSeq lists it as uncharacterized. The record is from RefSeq and is a predicted model, not a curated record. NCBI's taxonomy places the organism in Eukaryota, Metazoa, Chordata, Lepidosauria, Squamata, Cordylidae. The transcript is spliced from 3 exons.
UUCCCAUUAUGGAGUAAAUAAUAAUAAUGCUGAUAAUAGUAAUAAUAAUGAUAAUCACAAUAAAACUUAUCUGUUGCUUGAUAGUGCCUAUAGUGAUUUAAGAUUGGUAGCUGUAUUAAAGAGUUUCUCUUUUUCAAAGGCUUAUAAGAUUCUGUUCUUGGGAACUUGCACAGUACACAGAAUUGCAGUAAGCCUGCUGCGAAAGAAAUUAAUCUGGCCAUCAUGAUGGAAAUUACAACACACUGGAAUUCCUAGCCCUCCUAGCUGGAAGUCCACUUGAUUAUGCAAUGGCUAUUUGGAGAGAUCAGAGAGGAUGAUGAGAUUCCACAACUCCAGUAUUUUGCUGUGGGGAGAAGAGGAUCGCAAACCACUAUGAAAUUGAGAGCUUACAAACAAGACUAAUCAUUCAUGACAGAACCAUAGAGUUGGGUGGGGGCCUGGUAGGCCAUUUUCUCCAACCUCCGUUUGAUGCAGGAAAUCCAGAACUCGGGCACCCCAACAGAAGGUUGUUCAUCCUCUGCUUACAGACCUCCAGCGAGAGCCCACCAUCCCCCAAGGCAAAAGGGGGAAACUGCAUGGACAGAACCUAUAUCUAACUACUGACAGUCACCCAGAGCAUCUUUUUAUAGCCAUCAAAGUAAGUUCAUCAUUUGCCUCCUGGAGUUUGGGGUCUCUUUUUUCCAUUGUAAUCAUAGCUUCCUCUCUGUUUUUUUCAGCAUAUGUCUGCCUGGCAGGCCAGCGCCACUGCCUGUCUCUCCCUCCGACUGCUGCUGUUCCUUCAUCCUGUUUAUUAUCAGCCCGUGAUGCAGCAUGACCAGCCAGGCCCUCCCAGAGCAUCCAGGAUGCAUGACAUUAACCUGAGGAGCCUUUGAGGAGCCAAACAUCCAUCCCUUGCGCUGAUCCUCUGCAUGACAUUAGAAAUCCUUUUGUUUGCUUGUUUCAAAAUCACCAGUUUCCGAUCUCAAACACAGCUGGUGUACAUUGGGCUAUUACCUUAGCUACAUGAGAGAGAUCACCUCUUAGUAAGCAAGUGGUCUUCAUGGCCAUUCAAACCUAGCAAUACAGGAACAUAGGGAGCUGCCUUAUACAGAGCCAGACCAUUCGUCCACCUAGUUAGUAUUGUCUACACAGACUGGCAGUGGCUUCUCCAAGGUUACAGGUAGGAGUCUCUCUCAGCCCUAUCUGGAAAUGCCAGGGAGGGAGCUUGGAACCUUCAGCAUGCAAGCAUGCAGAUGCUCUUCCCAGAGCGGCUUCAUUCCCUAAGGGAACUAUCUUAUACUCAGUGCUCAAACAUGUCUCCCUUUCAAAUGCAAGCCAGGGCAGACCCUGCUUAGCAAAGGGGGCAAUUCAAGCUUGCUACCACAAGAUCAGCUUGAAGAUCUAAUGAAAGGUCCCUCAAAGGGUAAGAGCAACUGGGGGGGAGAGAUUUUCAUCUGAAUUACAGCACAGGGAAAUACUCCCCACCCCACUGCUAUACCCCACCCCAUUGGCUAUUUUGAUAUUUUGAAAAAACCAUGGAAGCUACAAUGAUGCUUCUACAUCUGGUUUCAUGCACAUACAUCUGCACUUUCCUCAGGAUCUUUUACACUGUUAGGUGGGUUGCUUGUUUUCAGGUAAAAUGGUCCUUAUGGGAUCAUGAGUUGGGAUCAGAAGGAUUAACAAAAUUCGACAAGCAACAAUGGCGAUGGUGUGAUGUUGAUCUUGGUGGGGAAAGGGCCAGCUGGGCAUUACCCACCCCUUGCCUCUCCAGAUUCCUCUUUUCUCUGGAAAAGAGAAUGGAAAGACAUAGUCAACAUUCCUUUGUAUUCCAGGUUUUAGGGGGAAAUGUGUGAGCCAAACAGGAUCCUAGGAGGAUAAACACCCUUCAUGGUGUUCAAGCAUGCUCCUAACCCAAAUGCUCAAAAUACAGAAAUGAAUCUUUAUUAGAAGUUUAGGGACAAGGAUCUGUGGUAGAGGAAAAGACCAGACAUAUAAGGCAGUUAAAGCUUGCAAAUUAACUUCCAGCUCCAUAGGCCUAAUUUUCAGGAUCACUUACAGGUUACAGUUUUUCUAGGGCAGCUUAACCAGGGACAAACAAAGGGCUAGCUGAAGAUUACCAGAACAAUAGGGGAGAAAGAGAUGUGACUACACUGAACCAGGUUGGAGUAGAUGUGGCCAAAACUAUUUUUACAACCAAUAGGAUAUGGCCAAGAUUCCCAACCAAUGGUACUCCAGAUGUUGCUGAACUGCAACCCUCAUCAUCCCCAGUCACAAAGUGUGCGCACAGAGAGGCCUGAACCGGGCUGCAGCUGGGCCGGACUAUCAGUUGGGAAGGUGGGGCCAGGGCUGUCCUUACUGAGCCCUGGCGGGGUGCGGGGCCCAGGGCAAAUCAGCCAGGGGUAGUCGCCCUGCUUGCCAUGCCCUAAGGACAGCCCGGGGUAGGGCAGCUGGAGGAGCCCUUGCUGCUGCCUCCCAAGUAUCCGCCACCUGAGCGUCCACCCCCACCACCUGAAAGCCUUCAUUUCAAAGGUAAAUACAAGCACUCCCACCUACUGCUUUAAUAUUUUAAAAGAAAAACCUUCUUAGACUUCAUUUCAUAGGUAAAUAAAGCCACUUCACCCCCCCACCCCACCACUGCACUGCUUUAACGUUUUAAAAGUAAAGCCUUUUUUAAGAUCAGAAGAUCCCCUGUACUUGUAAAGGGGAAUCCUAGCUGGAUUGCCCUUUACAAGUAUUCCACCCCCCACAGCCAGCCCACAAGCCAUAUCAGCCAGCUUGCAGGCUGGAUUGGAACGGGUUGGGCUCAAUUGAGCCUGAGCUACCUGUAGUGGCUCAAAUCUGGGUCAGAUUCGAGCCGAACCAGGUUAGUGUCUGGCUCGCACAUCCCUAGUUUGUACAGGCAGCUAGUGCAGUUAUAGCAAAUAUAGAGUGUGGCCUAAAUGCUUCCCCAAUCCUUGGUCAGUUUUUGGUGACCAACAGGGGCAUAUCUAGGGUGGGGCAGGCAGGGCACGUGCC